GGAUGAACGCUGGCGGCGUGCCUAAUACAUGCAAGUCGAGCGAACGGACGAGAAGCUUGCUUUUCUGAUGUUAGCGGCGGACGGGUGAGUAACACGUGGAUAACCUACCUAUAAGACUGGGAUAACUUCGGGAAACCGGAUCUAAUACCGGAUAAUAUUUUGAACCGCAUGGUUCAAAAGUGAAAGACGGUCUUGCUGUCACUUAUAGAUGGAUCCGCGCUGCAUUAGCUAGUUGGUAAGGUAACGGCUUACCAAGGCAACGAUGCAUAGCCGACCUGAGAGGGUGAUCGGCCACACUGGAACUGAGACACGGUCCAGACUCCUACGGGAGGCAGCAGUAGGGAAUCUUCCGCAAUGGGCGAAAGCCUGACGGAGCAACGCCGCGUGAGUGAUGAAGGUCUUCGGAUCGUAAAACUCUGUUAUUAGGGAAGAACAUAUGUGUAAGUAACUGUGCACAUCUUGACGGUACCUAAUCAGAAAGCCACGGCUAACUACGU
This 497-nucleotide ribosomal RNA is filed under the name uncultured bacterium. Its description in RNAcentral is "partial 16S ribosomal RNA". It matches the Rfam family "Bacterial small subunit ribosomal RNA", at positions 27 to 506 of the family's 1533-position model. The record is from RNAcentral.